Molecule: long non-coding RNA, 311 nt
Filed under: Mytilus galloprovincialis (Mediterranean mussel)
Lineage: Eukaryota; Metazoa; Mollusca; Bivalvia; Mytilida; Mytilidae
Source: RNAcentral
AGCAUUUUUUUCAGUGAGUUCUUUUCGUAUAGAUGGUGUUUGUCAGUUUCUGUGUUCUUCCUUUCUGGUGUAUAAUCGUACAUGCGAAUAGUGUGAGUAGAAUGAUGUGUCCUAUUCGUGUUCAUUUGGUUGUGUAUUUACAAAAAGAUACUGCUUUUAAGUUCUUCUUGAUUGGUUUUGUCAGCAAGAAUUGACAACUAAUAGUGUUUGGCGAAAGGUGCUUUAUUAUAAUAAUGCAAUAAUAUACAAUUAUACCAAACAUGGUAUCAAUAAGCAACAAUGAACAAGUGUCAAUAUGAAGCACUUAACCC